This 353-nucleotide small RNA is filed under the name Pongo abelii (Sumatran orangutan). RNAcentral describes it as "processed transcript". Lineage: Eukaryota; Metazoa; Chordata; Mammalia; Primates; Hominidae. The record is from RNAcentral.
UACUGUGUUUAUGGGACACUGAGCCUGGUCAGGGGCUUUGGUAUAGGGGGCAGAGGAAGAAAGUCAAACAUGUGAGUUAGGAAUGUACAUUAAUGUUUGAUUUAGCAGUAACUAAGUACAAACCAUCAUCCCCCUUCUAUUCCCCAUCUUGAAGCAAUCAGGCUAUUUGUAUGCUGGAAAGACGAGAGAAACCUUCACCAAGCAUGUUUGGUGAACUGCUGCAGAAUGCCAGCACCAUGGGGGAUCUGCGGAACUGUCCAAGCAACUGUGGAGAGAGGAUCAGGAUUCGCCGUGUUUUGAUGAAUGCUCCACAGAUUAUCACGAUUGGGCUGGUAUGGGACUCAGACCACUCA